Haliotis rubra (blacklip abalone) is the source of this 156-nucleotide long non-coding RNA. RefSeq lists it as uncharacterized. NCBI's taxonomy places the organism in Eukaryota, Metazoa, Mollusca, Gastropoda, Lepetellida, Haliotidae. The transcript is spliced from 3 exons. The record is from RefSeq and is a predicted model, not a curated record.
UCGAUCACUGGAUGUCAAUCUCAACGGCACAUCGUAUUAUCAAUCUCAACUCCACAGGGAGUAUACAACUCUUGCAGCCACUAGGCGCACCGAGUUUUACGGCUUUCUCAUCCAAACGAGAUAUGGUACCCAUUCACUGCUGGGUUGAUUGAGACA